Molecule: ribosomal RNA, 429 nt
Filed under: Pseudomonadota bacterium
Lineage: Bacteria; Pseudomonadati; Pseudomonadota
Description: Proteobacteria bacterium partial 16S ribosomal RNA
Rfam family: Bacterial small subunit ribosomal RNA
Source: RNAcentral
UGGGGAAUAUUGGACAAUGGGCGAAAGCCUGAUCCAGCCAUGCCGCGUGUGUGAAGAAGGUCUUCGGAUUGUAAAGCACUUUAAGUUGGGAGGAAGGGCAGUAAGCGAAUACCUUGCUGUUUUGACGUUACCGACAGAAUAAGCACCGGCUAACUCUGUGCCAGCAGCCGCGGUAAUACAGAGGGUGCAAGCGUUAAUCGGAAUUACUGGGCGUAAAGCGCGCGUAGGUGGUUCGUUAAGUUGAAUGUGAAAGCCCCGGGCUCAACCUGGGAACUGCAUCCAAAACUGGCGAGCUAGAGUAGGGCAGAGGGUGGUGGAAUUUCCUGUGUAGCGGUGAAAUGCGUAGAUAUAGGAAGGAACACCAGUGGCGAAGGCGACCACCUGGGCUCAUACUGACACUAAGGUGCGAAAGCGUAGGGAGCAAACAGG